Molecule: ribosomal RNA, 411 nt
Filed under: uncultured Pseudomonas sp.
Lineage: Bacteria; Pseudomonadati; Pseudomonadota; Gammaproteobacteria; Pseudomonadales; Pseudomonadaceae
Description: bacterial SSU rRNA
Rfam family: Bacterial small subunit ribosomal RNA
Source: RNAcentral
CCAGGCCUUGACAUGCAGAGAACUUUCCAGAGAUGGAUUGGUGCCUUCGGGAACUCUGACACAGGUGCUGCAUGGCUGUCGUCAGCUCGUGUCGUGAGAUGUUGGGUUAAGUCCGUAACGAGCGCAACCCUUGUCCUUAGUUACCAGCACGUUAUGGUGGGCGACUCUAAGGAGACUGCCGGUGACAAACCGGAGGAAGGUGGGGAGUGACGUCAAGUCAUCAUGGCCCUUACGGCCUGGGCUACACACGUGCUACAAUGGUCGGUACAAAGGGUUGCCAAGCCGCGAGGUGGAGCUAAUCCCAUAAAACCGAAUCGUAGUCCGGAUCGCAGUCUGCAACUCGACUGCGUGAAGUCGGAAUCGCUAGUAAUCGUGAAUCAGAAUGUCACGGUGAAUACGUUCCCGGGCCUU